CAAUAAGCGGAGGAAAAGAAACCAACAGGGAUUGCCUUAGUAACGGCGAGUGAAGCGGCAACAGCUCAAAUUUGAAAUCUGGUUACUUCGUAGCCCGAGUUGUAAUUUGUAGAGGAUGCUUUUGGUGAGGUGCUUUCUGAGUUCCCUGGAACGGGACGCCAAAGAGGGUGAGAGCCCCGUACAGUUAGAUACCAAUCCUUUGUAUAGCUCCUUCGACGAGUCGAGUAGUUUGGGAAUGCUGCUCUAAAUGGGAGGUAUAUCUCUUCUAAAGCUAAAUAUAGGCUAGAGACCGAUAGCGCACAAGUAGAGUGAUCGAAAGAUGAAAAGCACUUUGAAAAGAGAGUUAAACAGCACGUGAAAUUGUUGAAAGGGAAGCGCCUAUGACCAGACUUGUUUCUAUCAGUUUUGGUAGUUUUCGGACUGCUUUACUCUGUUAGUACAGGCCAACAUCAGUUUGUUGUCGGGGAGAAAGGUUUAGGGAAUGUGGCUCUUUCGGGAGUGUUAUAGCCCUUUACAUAAUACCCUUCGGCAGACUGAGGACCGCGCUUCGGCAAGGAUGUUGGCGUAAUGG
RNAcentral lists this ribosomal RNA (571 nucleotides) under Huntiella moniliformis. RNAcentral describes it as "LSU rRNA". It matches the Rfam family "Eukaryotic large subunit ribosomal RNA", at positions 44 to 637 of the family's 3401-position model. The record is from RNAcentral. Lineage: Eukaryota; Fungi; Ascomycota; Sordariomycetes; Microascales; Ceratocystidaceae.